This 795-nucleotide long non-coding RNA is filed under the name Triticum aestivum (bread wheat). RNAcentral's name for it is "long non-coding RNA (TAES_LNC011338)". Lineage: Eukaryota; Viridiplantae; Streptophyta; Magnoliopsida; Poales; Poaceae. The record is from RNAcentral.
CCACCUCCAAGAUCGGGUUAAUUUUGGAAGAUGCUCGGGCCUUCUCUCUCCCCCAAGAUGAACGCCAUUAUCGCCUUGCUUUGAGAACCUGGCGUUGCAACCCUGCUAUGAGGCGAGAGAGGAAACAAUGGAUGAUGGUGGAUAGGUUAGUUCCCGCGGACAUGGGAAGUUUGGUUUAGUAAAGUUUGGGUUGGGAUUUUUGCCUAGCAGAGUGCGAUUCCUGAAGCUAAUCUUGUCCAAAUUCCUGCUGCAGGCGGAAUUUGGUGACAACCUCGACAAUUCAGAUUCGGUUCCCCUGGUCUGUCGGAAAACGAGGCCAACCGUACAGAGCCGGAGGACUCAAAUGCCGAGUCUGCGUGCGGUCAACAACUCGGCGGAGAUCACAUUUGCAGAGAUCGAGUUGGGGGCGCCGGCGUGCGGAUGCAUCUCUGACCCGGUCAGUGCAGUCUACUGACAGAGUCAACCGGGAGGCCCCCAGUUGGAAAUCUGAAUUUCCCUAAUAGAAAUUGUACUUUUUUUGCAUUUCAGCUGUAGAAAUUUCCAUCAGCCAAUGGAUUGCUCCAUGAGAGGAAAGCAGCAAAACAUAUUGUUGCAUGAUUUCGUAAAAAUGAUAAGUAGGUUCACUGUCAGAAUGGCUGCCUUUGCACUGUCAGAACUUGUUGAAACUAUGUACUGAAUAUAUAGUUGUACUGAAUAUGUACCAUUUGUGUAAAAAAAACAGAUUACAAUGUGCCCCAUAUGGUUGCCCUGGUGCUCAUGUUGCGCUAUGGGAAAACCAAUCAACUGCGCGUUUGG